GCGAGGCGGGCAGGCAGCGGGGCCGGUGGAUGCGCGGGGCGCGGCAUCUCGGCGUCCGGGCGGCCGCGGGGUCGCUGUGCGCCCUGCGCUCGGGGAGGCGUGGCCCGGAGCACGGAGUGUGAUGUGAGCGGCCGGGCGGCCGCGGAGAGCAGUGCCGGGAGGAGGAGCGAGGGGUCCCGGAGGGCGGCGAGCGGGCGGGCCAUGGGAGCCGCUCCCGGGUGGGCAGAGCCACGCGUGGGUCGGCGAGGCUGAGGACAUGCCCGGGCUCUGCUGCUGACCGCCUCCGGCGGGAACCCGGCUGCCGGAGCCUCGGCGAGGCUAGCCAGAGGGGAGCCCCGCAGCGUUUGCUAAACCGAAGCAGAAGCCGUUGAGUCAGCGUUUGUCCGGUUGGAAAGAGCCCACACCUGUGUUUUGAGGCACUUUGGGAGGAAAUUGGAUGCGAAAAUGAAGCCAGACCGAGGAUCAAGCAUUCCUGUGUCAGAUGUGACGAACAGUCUCUGUGAAGACAUCAGCCGCUGAGGAAAAGAUGGACUUACGGAGUAGGUGGUUAAAGUCAGAUGGGAGGAGGACCCGUUCUUAGGCAGUGUUUGGUGUGUGCCAGAAAGAAGUUGUCAAGAGUAGCACUUGUGAGUGGCCACAGGCGUAGAGUCCUUUUUAGUUGCUGUUCCUCAUUUCUUUUCAGGUAAAGUCAAUCCAACUUCAGAACUCUGUCAACUUUUGGAAGUUGAGUUUGAACUUCAUUAGCUUUUGUUUUUGUUUUUUGGUUUUUUUUUUUUUUUUUUUGUAGUGUGUUUGUUGUUGUUGUUUGUUUUUUAGAUAGGGUUUUGUCAAGUUGUCUAGGCUGACACGGGUCUCACCAUGUAACCCGGGCUGGCCCAGAACUCACUCACUAAUGAUCUUUUUAACUUUGCCUCCACAGUAUUGGCAUUACAGGCAUGCACCGCUGUGAACCCGCAUUACUUGAAGUUUGUGCUCUAAGUGAAUUUCAAUUGUUUUCAGAGUACCCCAGCCUCAGUUUCUCAGUUGCACAAUCAGGGCCUAACUUUCCAUUCUAAACCUGUAUUUUCUUUUCUUUCUUUUUGUGGAGGAGGAGGCAGGGUUUUUCGACAGGGUUUCUCUGUGUAGCUCUGGCUGUUGUAGAUCUUGUUCUGUAGACCUGGCUGGCCUUGAACUCACAGAGAUCUGCCUGCUUCUGCCUCUCAGGUGCUGGAAUUAAAGGCACCACCCAGCUCUAAACCUGUAUUUUCAAGACUUAGAGAAUAAUGUAUAUAUCUUGCCCCUCUUCCCCCCAACCCUAUUAUUUUGAAUGAAAUAUAAAGGUAUCUGUCACAACUCAGUGGGGAAAAGUGCCACAAAGCCUGGUGAUCUGGGUUCAGACCCCAGAACUUACAAGGUAGAAGGAGAGAACUGAUUUCUGAAAGCUGACCUCUGGCCUCAUCUCAUGUCCCUUUGCAUACGGUGAACACACUGACCCAAAAAGUGAAUAUUUUUAAGGUAAUUUUAAAAAAUGCCUUAAAAGGAAAAGGUUUAUCAUAUUACCCCAGGCUGGCCUACAGCUAGGACCUCUCCUGCCUCUGUCUCUUGGGUGCUGAGACUGCAGGCACAUAGCACCACACCCGCCUCAUUUUGCUUUUCAAAGAGGUCAGAAGAAGUUUAUCAGCCUUGUGAUUAAGGAUCAGGGCAAUUCUGGGAGGAGUUUGCUACAGUAGGGGUUAGUAGUGAGGGCUUCUUAGGUUUGAGUUUGACUCCAAGGAAUUAUACAGUAGGUAUGUCGUAUGUGGAAGAAAGGGCUAGACAGCAGCAUUCAUUCAAAGCUGAGCUUCCAGGGUUGGAAAUAGUGAUUUAUCCUCUGAGGUAGACUUACAAGAACCUAAACAUCAAAACCAUUAUUUUCCUGUAUAUAUUUUUCAAAAUGAUUAGAAACACAAAUAUACUAGUUAAAAUGUCUUCUGGUCAUAAUGUUUAUUAAAAUAUACUAGGGAAAAGUGGGAGACAGCUAUAUUUAAAACAUGCUUUAAAUUAUUUUCUGGGUGUCUUACUGUUAAUUAAAAUGAGUUCGUUGUGAAUGCCUGUAGAAGUGUCAUCAAGUACAUUGCUACCAAGAGGAGCGCCUGUGUACCAUGCUAAGUUUAGAUUUUUAGAUUACAUCAGUGACUGUGGAAAAACUGGCACCGAGGUCAGAGGCUGCGUCUCAGAAUAAACAAGCAAAUAAAAUCAAA
This is a long non-coding RNA of Psammomys obesus (fat sand rat), 2219 nucleotides long. RefSeq lists it as uncharacterized. The transcript has 3 exons. The record is from RefSeq and is a predicted model, not a curated record. Lineage: Eukaryota; Metazoa; Chordata; Mammalia; Rodentia; Muridae.